UUUGGGGCUUGUUUGAAUGGUUUGACGGAGUAAUAAUGAAUAUCUGAUAUUUUAUUGAAAUUGGUUUAGGGGGUACAGAAUCCCCUGUGAUUAAUUAGACGGAAAGACCCUGGGAUCUUUCAUUUUGCCUGGGGCAGGUGGUAGUAUUUUACUAUUAUUGUGUUCCUUAUAUGGAUUAGUGAGUUAAGUUACCCCAGGGAUAACAGUGUUAUAGUUAAUUAGAGGUCUUAUCGAAUUAGCUGUUUGCCACCUCGAUGUUGACUUAGGUUAGGCUCAGGCGCAGUAGUUUGAGUUUUGGGUCUGUUCGACCUUUUAACCUUCAUGAGUUGAGUUAAGACCGGCGUGAGCCAGGUCGGUUCUUAUCUAUUGUUGAGAUUUAUUAGUACGAAAGGACCGUAAAUCUUUUUAUUGAGUAUGCAGCUGUUGGUCUCAGCUUUGCAAAAGCUGAUGUGAAAAUUUCCAUGCUGUUUAACUAUGGCAAUAGGAAGUUUACUAUGUUAGCUGCAUAAAAAGAUUCUAUAGUACUUAAAUUUACGUUUUAAUUAGAUAAUUAGCAGUUAGUUUUUUAUUAGGAUUAAGGUCUUUUAAGAGGGUAGUAUUAAAGGGGAUAGGACACAGUGCCAGCAUCUGCGGUUAGUCUGUUUUCUUUGCUUUUUAUUAGGCUGUACUUGAGUAUUUAUAGGUAAGUUUAGGUGAAAUUUAUUUAUGAUUAUAUUAUAUACUCAGUUAGUAGGAAGCUAUUAUUUAUGACAGGGAUUAGAUACCCCAUUAGUGGAUAGAAGUAUUAU
RNAcentral lists this ribosomal RNA (788 nucleotides) under Catenotaenia peromysci. Its description in RNAcentral is "partial large subunit ribosomal RNA". The stretch from base 69 to 373 matches the Rfam family "Bacterial large subunit ribosomal RNA", at positions 2049 to 2651 of the family's 2925-position model. Lineage: Eukaryota; Metazoa; Platyhelminthes; Cestoda; Cyclophyllidea; Catenotaeniidae. The record is from RNAcentral.